UGGGGAAUCUUGCGCAAUGGGCGAAAGCCUGACGCAGCCAUGCCGCGUGAAUGAUGAAGGUCUUAGGAUUGUAAAAUUCUUUCACCGGGGACGAUAAUGACGGUACCCGGAGAAGAAGCCCCGGCUAACUUCGUGCCAGCAGCCGCGGUAAUACGAAUGGGGCUAGCGUUGCUCGGAAUUACUGGGCGUAAAGGGCGCGUAGGCGGAUCGUUAAGUCAGAGGUGAAAUCCCAGGGCUCAACCCUGGAACUGCCUUUGAUACUGGCGAUCUUGAGUAUGAGAGAGGUAUGUGGAACUCCGAGUGUAGAGGUGAAAUUCGUAGAUAUUCGGAAGAACACCAGUGGCGAAGGCGACAUACUGGCUCAUUACUGACGCUGAGGCGCGAAAGCGUGGGGAGCAAACAGG
RNAcentral lists this ribosomal RNA (404 nucleotides) under bacterium. RNAcentral's name for it is "partial 16S ribosomal RNA". It matches the Rfam family "Bacterial small subunit ribosomal RNA", at positions 355 to 776 of the family's 1533-position model. The record is from RNAcentral.